UACGUAGGCAGCAACCGUUGUUCGGAAUUACUGGGCGUAAAGAGUGUGUAGGUGGUGUCGUAAGUUUGGUGUGAAAUCUCCCGGCUUAACUGGGAGGGUGCGCCGAAGACUGCGAUGCUGGAGUAUGGGAGAGGAAAGCGGAAUUCCUGGUGUAGCGGUGAAAUGCGUAGAUAUCAGGAGGAACACCUGCGGUGUAGACGGCUUUCUGGACCAUUACUGACACUGAGACACGAAAGCGUGGGUAGCAAACAGG
RNAcentral lists this ribosomal RNA (253 nucleotides) under uncultured bacterium. Its description in RNAcentral is "partial 16S ribosomal RNA". It matches the Rfam family "Bacterial small subunit ribosomal RNA", at positions 524 to 776 of the family's 1533-position model. The record is from RNAcentral.